RNAcentral lists this long non-coding RNA (5147 nucleotides) under Gossypium barbadense (sea-island cotton). RNAcentral's name for it is "long non-coding RNA (GBAR_LNC009675)". The record is from RNAcentral. Lineage: Eukaryota; Viridiplantae; Streptophyta; Magnoliopsida; Malvales; Malvaceae.
UCUUGUCAUCUGAAUAUCAUUUCAAAUUUUUUCUUUUGACGGUUCAGUUUUUUGGGAAAGUUUGUUCUUUCAAAAAACCGAUUCUUCUGCUUUUCUUUACUUUCCUCUCAUUUCUCUUCUUCCCCUUCCAUUCUCAAUCCGGUUCUCGUCUCCAGUCAAUCCUUCGUUGAUUUUCAGCAUACCCUGGGACCCUUAUUUCCAGGUACAUCUCUUCCUUUCUUUUUAGAGUUUUUAUUGCCAAUGUAUGCGCAAGGGCGUUUGCAGAUCUUAGUAUAUGUUUGAAUAUGAAACUUCUAGAUAUAUUUAAUUUCUGUUGAAUAUCGUAUAUAUAUGCUCCAAUAUGUGAACGAUCUUGACUUUUUGUUACACAUUUCUUGAUUAUUCUGAGAGAGCCUCCUUUUAUUAUAACCUUCGGCCAUUCCUAUUCCACUCCUACUUGGACCGCUUUCCUACAUGUGAUUGCUUCAGCUGCAAAUGCGAAAGUUACCCCAUGAUGGAUCUCUAAGCAGAAAGUAAGACAACCCAUUCUUCGUUUCUGACAACAAUCCCUGAGGCAGAUUGGUGGUGAUUCGCAUCAUACGCACCAUCAAAAUUAAUUUUUACGAAUUCAUUAGGUGGAUAACUCCAUCUUCUUAUCUCCUUCCCCUUUACUGGAUUUCUCAUUUCUAAACCAUUUAAUUCAGCCAUAUAGUUGUUGAUGAAAUCUGCUAUUUCCUGCCCUGUACUAUUUUUCUGCUCAUGUAUUCUUCGUUUCUGACAACAGAAGAGGCGGCUCUGGUAUGAAGUAAGCUGAUCAAAGAUCCAGGUAAUCCAUUGUAAAAAAAAUCCAUGUUAGGAUCUAGAAUAAAAUUUUGAAUUUUUAAUAGUGUCCAAACUUCUAUUGUGACAGGACAUUCGCGAAAAAUAUGGUCGAUUGUUUCAGCCAUUUCUCCACAUCGGGGGCAGCUUGUACUACUAACAAGUUUUCGGUGCUGCAUAUUAACCCUGUCGGCAAAUAGUUCCAUGAAAUUCUCCAUACUGUAACUUUGAUUUUAUUUGGAAGAUUUAGGAGUCAAAGUUUUUUGUAAAAAUUCCUGUAAUCAAUUUGUAAAGCGUAAGCUCUAGGAAUUUCAUCAAAAGUUUGUAAUAGUUUAUAGGCACUGCAGACCGAAAACUCGCCUGAAUACGCGCCUCUUCAGACAAGUAGAUCAUUGUGAGGUGUGUAUGCUAAAGGUAUCCGGAGGAUUUUUCCAGCAUCUUCCUUUGAAAAGGUAUUCUUUAUAAGUUCUCUUUUCCAUGUUCUCUCAUUACUGUUGAUCAACUCACUAGCCUUGACAUCACACAUACAAUUAACAACUGAAGAUAAUUUAACAUUAACAGCAUCUGGAAUCCAAGCAUUAGCAUUGAUAGAAAUAUUUGUACCUGUACCAACCCUCCAACAUAUUCUUUUUUUCCAAAAUACCCUUCACUGCCCAUAUGCUUUUCCAUAUAUAAGAACUGGUUUUCCCCAAUCGAGAAUUUAAAAAAUAUUCAUUUGUGAAAUAUUUUGUUUUAAAAACUCACAUAACCAAAGAAUCUUGAUUAGUAAUAAUCCUCCACCCUUGCUUAGCUAGUAAUGAAAUAUUGAAUUGAGCUAGAUUUCUAAAGUCCAUUCUCCCUCCUCUUUUGAUCGACAUAUAAAUUUCCAUUAACACUAGUGUAUCCCUUUCCUUCCCUAUCCUUUUUGCCACCAGAAUUUAGCGAAAAUAUUUUCUAACUCCUCACAUAAUAAUUUUGGUAGGAGGAAACAUAUCAUAGCAUAAGUUGGAAUUGCUUGAAGAACAGAUUUUAUAAAGACCUCAUUUUCCCCUUGUGAUAGUAACCUUGUACUCCAGCUUUCAAUUCUUGACUUAACUUUAUCUUUGAGAUUCUAAAAAGCUUUCUUCUUUUGUUUGCCUACAACAUUAGGGAGUCCUAGAUAUUUUUCCAAAUUUGUGGAGCAUCUCAUACCUAGUAAACUCGAGAUUUCUUCUGUCUCUUUCUGCUGUAUUUGAGCUAUAGAAAAUUGUCGAUUUGCUAAAAUUCACGCAUCGACCUGAUUGUUCAUAUUCUUUCAAAAUGUCUUUUAAAAUUCUUGCCCUUCUAUUUGUCGCUUCACCAAAUAGUAUACAGUCAUCUGUAAACAGCAAGUGCGAUAUUUCUGGUCAUUUUCUACUAACCCUCACUCACUUCAUCAAUCCCUCAGCUAUUGCUAAUCUUAUCAAAGAUGAGAUUCCCUUAUUGCAUAUUAAAAAAAAAGGGCUAAGCGGGUCACCCUGACGAAGCCCUCUAGUCGGCUUAAAAACAUUUCCUCUUCUCCCAUUGAUAUUCAUUGUAUAAGAGACUGUAGAGAUACAUUUCAUGAUUAAUGUCGCCCAUUCCAUUGUAAAUCCCAUUUGAAGCAUAACUUCCUUUAGAAAAGCCCACUUAACUUAUCAUAAGCCUUGUUCAUAUCUAGUUUUACUGCCAUAAGCCCUUUUUUCCCAGUUAGUUUUGACGUAGCAUAUGUAAUAGUUUAUAUGCUAUAAGCACAUUGUUAGUAAUUAAUCUUUCGGGAACGAAAGCACUUUGAGCUUUGUCAAUACAUUUUCCAAUGACUUCCUAAAGAUGAUUUGUAAAUGUUUUUGCCAUAAUUUUGUAUAAAAUUGUGCAUAAGCUGAUAGGUCUAAAAUUAACAAGACUUGUGGGAUUUGGUACUUUUGGGAUAAGUACAAUAUCUGUAAGGUUUAGAGAGUCAAAAUCCCUUCCAUCAUUCAGAAGUCCCAAGCAAAAAACUUUCAAGAGCUUUACCUACAAUGUGCCAAAAUCUUUGAAAAAAUAAAGCAGGAAAUCCAUCAUAACCUGGUGCUUUAGUGGGCCCUAUUCCUUUCAAAGCUGAAAAUACCUUUUCUGUCGUAAAUGGUAUUAGUAAAUCUGUAUAGAUAUCAGAUGAAAUAUUAGUAUUAAUGCCCUUUAGAAGGUGGGAUAAAUUCCCAAUUCCCUUUGACGAAAAUAAAUUCUAAAAGUAAUUUGAAGCGGCCUCAUUAAUCGCUGAUUCAUCAUAAAUUUCCUUCCCUUCAUCAGAUUCCAGCCUAGUAAUAGUGUUAAUUUGUCUACGAGCUAAGGCAUAUUUGUGAAAAAAGGCAAAAUUUUUAUCUUCUAAUUGAAGCCAAUUGGCUCGUGCCCUCUGUUCCCAAGACAUUUCGUCUUUAGCAAUCUCCAUAUUAAGUUGAAUUCUAGUAUCAAUCAGCUUUGCCAUUGUGUCAUCAUCCCUAUCGCUUGCCAGUAGAUCUUCAAGUUCCUUUGUGAACUUAGUCUUUAACCUAUCUCAACCCUGCUUUAUUGAGCUUGCCCACCUUAUAUCUGCAGCCUUCUAAACUUUUCAAUAAUAGAUCCAUUUGAUGACUCCCAUGAUUUUAUAAUCUCUCGUUCAAUAGAUGCCUUCAUGGUCCACCAUGCCUUUAAUUUGAAUCUUGGAAUCCCCUUAUAGUUCUUCUCAUUAUUAGUACUGAUAAGUAGGGGAUAAUGAUCUGAAAUCGAGUGUGUUAAAUGAUGAAUAAUUCCUUUUGGGAAAAGAUGCAUCCACUUUUCAUUCGCCACUCCCCUAUCCAGUUGCUCUUUAAUAUUUAUUUUCGGUAGAUUCCUCCCUUCCGUGUAAACCAAACCCCUGAAUACCCCAUGUCCAUUAAUUGACAUUCUUCUAAAACCUCACUUAAAGUUUUCAUUCUUUUCUCCUCCUUCGAUUAACGUCCACUUUUUUUUUAAAAGAAUACAUUAUUUCAUUAAAAUCACCUCAUACCAACCAUUGGUGGUUUUGAUCCUGACCCAACUUCCUUAACAAAUUCCACGAGACACUCUUAUUAUUAACAUAAAGUGAAUCGUAAAACCCUGUAAAGCUCCACUCUUCAUUGAAAUUGUCCUCUUUUAUCAUCACAUCAAUAUGGCUUUUUGAGAAAUUGUUUGGACAAACCGUAAUACCUGCUUUCUAUGCCAUACAAAUUUCAUCUCUAAAACCUUCAACUCCUACAUCAAUCCCAUUUUCAAAACCAUAUCUCCUCCUAAUUUUUUUCAUGCGCUUUUCGUCUAUUUUGGUCUCCAUAAGGAAGACUAUUUAGGGUUUAUGUUGCUUCAGCAAAUACUGAAGCCUUCUCACUGACCGUGAACUCCCCAAUCCACGAACGUUCUAGCAAAUGGUUUUCAUUGUGCCCGGUCGACUUGCCAUUUGGCAGUUGACGAUUUAUUUUGGUUGGUAAUACACCCUUGCUUGAGAAUUUUUACCAACAAAAUUAUGCCUCCUUCGAUAUGAAAGUCUUGGCCGUCGUACUUCAUUCUUUUUGCUUCCUCUUUACAGGAUUUUCCUUUGCCAUUGUCUUUAAUUUCUAUAUCCUCUGAUUUUCUUUUUCUCAAUAUACUCUCUCCGUUACAAAUAUCCACCUCUCUUACUACCUCAAUUCUCUUCCAACUCGAUUUCUUGGCUGGUUUCAAAAUUCCUGCGUAAUUAUUAUUUUCCCCAUUUGCUUUUUCUUCCACAACUAUCUCUUCCUCCUGUAUCAUCAUCCCUUUCUCUGUUUCUGUAAAUUGUAAACUAUCUUGGAUUUUUUGGGCCAUGUCACUUUUAUCCUUCUCUUGAAAAUUUAACUCAAGAAUCUUCUCUAUAUCACCUGUAUAUGAACAUUGAGGCUGCACCUUCUUUGAAAAGACAUUAAAAUUUAAACUCUCCCUUUCAAUAAAAUUUACUUCUGCUUUUAAUGCUAAAGAAUAAAGAAGAUCAUCUCUGAUUUUAUUUUUUUUACAGGUGUAAAAUUGAGGCAUUCGAUGAGCCCAUGCUCCACAUUCCAUAGUCAAACCAGAAUGUUGGUAAUUUUUCAUAUUUAAAAGGGAUUCAGGACUUACUUUGAUUUUCAGUUGAGACGAAAAUACCCCUGCGCAAGGGUUUUUGCACAUCUAACUGAACUCUAAGCUGACAGAAUUCACCAUUAAUUGUAGAUCUCAGAACGCCUCCAAAAGUAACCCCAAUAGCAUGCAUUAAAUCUUUUUUUAUCAAAUUCUGGUAAACAUGGUCCAAUUUUAAUCCAAAACGGGGAUGAAUUAAGCCUAAUAUGACUUAUUUCCAUCGGUUUAUUCAACUGAUCAAAGAGCAUUAAAUUUUUCUGAAACAACCAUGAUUGCCC